Molecule: ribosomal RNA, 451 nt
Filed under: uncultured bacterium
Lineage: Bacteria
Description: partial 16S ribosomal RNA
Rfam family: Bacterial small subunit ribosomal RNA
Source: RNAcentral
AGCGAACGCUGGCGGCAUGCUUAACACAUGCAAGUCGCACGAAGGUUUCGGCCUUAGUGGCUGACGGGUGAGUAAAGCGUAGGACUCUAUCCAUAGGUGGGGGAUAACACUGGGAAACUGGUGCUAAAACCGCAUGAUACCAGAGGGUCAACGGCGCAAGUCGUCUGGGGAGGGGACUGCGUGCGAUUAGCUAGAUGGUGGGGGAAAGGCCUCACAAGGCGAUGAUAGAUAGCUGGUUUGAGAGGAUGAUCGGCCACACUGGGACUGAGGCACGGCCCAGACUCCUACGGGAGUCAGCAGUGGGGAAUAUUGGACAAUGGGGGCAACCCUGAUCCAGCAAUGCCGCGUGUGUGAAGAAGGUCUUCGGAUUGUAAAGCACUUUCGACGGGGACGAUGAUGACGGUACCCGUAGAAGAAGCCCCGGCUAACUUCGUGCCAGCCGCCGCGGUAA